UAAGAUGUUUAUUGAAUUACUAAUAUAACGUUUUAACUACAUAAAUACUUGUACGUGUUUAGAGCUUGCGUGUACUGCAUAACGUUGAAUCUAAUAAUUUACUGCAAUACUACAAUUUUUUUGCGAGUGUUUCAAAUGAUUUGACUGCGUUAGAAAAGCACAACAUUUUGAUAUUUUCAUAAAUCAUAAAAAAAGACACUGUACACACCAUGCAUGUUAUGUUUUUCAUGCAUACAUUUUCACUUUGACUUUACAUAUAUACGUAUUUAUCAUUUUCGGAAGAUAUCUGGCUACUCUAGCCAUAGAUCAAGAUCGCCACUUGCUGAGGCGUCCUAAAGAUCUUCAAGUCCCGAGAUUACAGGCAAGGGAAGAGGCAGGGGAAGCACUAGAGGCAGGGCAAGGGGGAUCAAUCACGUGGAAGGAGUAUGCGAAGAAACAGGUCUAGAGGGCCAUCCAGUUCAACCAGACAUGACCUUAUCCGACAGCGGAGAGACGAGAGGUUAACCCAGUUAAAGUCUCAGGUCGAACAGAUGUCUGCGGAGGGACAUGAGAUUAGUGAUGCAGGUCUGUGAGAGAGACCUAUCACUAAUUCUUGACGUUGUUCACCACACGAUACAGGAGGAGCGGAGUCAUGGUGACUACUACCCAUUGCCAGGCAGUGACUGUCCAGACUGGUGCGUUUGUGGUCGAUGUCGCGAGAUGUCCUCAGAAGAGAAGGGAGAGUGCUGUAGACAAACUCCUGUGAACUGCAUCUGUUCACAACCGGAUUUUGACUACAUAGUGCUUGAUCCUUUGGUUUUAUUGCUGGCUCGUAGGCACAGGCAAGUAAUAAUUCGUUGCUACACUGCCUGGUCUUGAAAAAUGUGGGCCUGUCAUGGUAAUA
Long non-coding RNA from Magallana angulata, 883 nucleotides. RefSeq lists it as uncharacterized. The transcript has 3 exons. The record is from RefSeq and is a predicted model, not a curated record. NCBI's taxonomy places the organism in Eukaryota, Metazoa, Mollusca, Bivalvia, Ostreida, Ostreidae.